Bos taurus (domestic cattle) is the source of this 760-nucleotide long non-coding RNA. NCBI's taxonomy places the organism in Eukaryota, Metazoa, Chordata, Mammalia, Artiodactyla, Bovidae. The record is from Ensembl.
GCAUGCUCAGUGGGCGGUGGCCGCGGGGGCGUUGCGGGACAUUCCCUCCCCACCCCCCGACUCCCUCCACAGGCCGCGGGGUGGCCACUGUCGUGGGCCGCGGGCCACUUGGGCUUUGUCCAGAGGGCUGCGCGGCCGGCGAGGCUGAAACCUUAGAAGGAACUGAACUCUAAUGACACCGAGGUGGGGGCGGGGAGGCGGCGACAGAGAAGGCACGGAGCCAAGGGAGGAGGGCAGCGGGAGCGAGCCCUGCACCCGCCGCCGCACCGCGGUGCACCACACAGGCGGGCCUCGGGGCUGAAGAGCUACCUGGGCGCCUGUGAAAAGACGAGUUCUGCACCCGGCUCCACUCCCCUCUUCCUGCCCGAUACUCCGUCGGUCCAGGAAUAGGCACUUUUGUUCCGCACCUGUGGGCAGUUCUGAUGCACGUUUUGAGGAAGUGCUAAAAUGUCAUUAGUAUGAGAAAGCCAUCAGCAAUUUCUGACCUCCAAAUACGAAUCCCAAACUGCAAUCCUCUGGAUGUUGCUACCCCAACCCCGCCUUUGAUUGCUCAGGAGCUGGGGGAAAUGCAAGUUGACAGGUUGUGCACAGGGCUUGAUACAUUGAGCUGUGGACGUUUACCUGGCCAGAGGUGAAUUGCUUCUGCCUGAUGAAAGACAGCCCUGCCUGGAUCAGCACACACCUUUCCUCACUGUAAUUCCUGCUUUUUACUCUAAAGGAAGAACUGUCACACAACAUUUUAAAUCAACCAUACUCCAAU